RNAcentral lists this antisense RNA (72 nucleotides) under Streptomyces sp. NRRL B-3648. Its description in RNAcentral is "ASpks TB sRNA". It matches the Rfam family "ASpks TB sRNA". The record is from Rfam by way of RNAcentral. Lineage: Bacteria; Bacillati; Actinomycetota; Actinomycetes; Kitasatosporales; Streptomycetaceae.
CUUGAUCGACCCCAGGUAGAGGGGUUCGCCCUCACGGCUCUGGCCGUAGGUGGCCAGCAGUGCCUGUGCCUC